RNAcentral lists this unclassified non-coding RNA (250 nucleotides) under plant metagenome. RNAcentral's name for it is "partial contains small subunit ribosomal RNA, internal transcribed spacer 1, and 5.8S ribosomal RNA". The stretch from base 1 to 53 matches the Rfam family "Eukaryotic small subunit ribosomal RNA", at positions 1779 to 1831 of the family's 1831-position model. The record is from RNAcentral.
GAAGUAAAAGUCGUAAUAAGGUCUCCGUAGGUGAACCUGCGGAGGGAUCAUUACAGAGUUCAUGCCCUACCGGGUAGAUCUCCCACCCUAUGUUAUUAUUACUUUGUUGCUUUGGCGGGCCGUUAGGCUCCGGCCCGACUACCGGCCCCGGCUGGUAAGCGCCCGCCAGAGGACCCAAAACCCUGAAUAUUAGUGUCGUCUGAGUACUAUAUAAUAGUUAAAACUUUCAACAACGGAUCUCUUGGUUCUG